RNAcentral lists this unclassified non-coding RNA (405 nucleotides) under soil metagenome. RNAcentral's name for it is "partial contains 5.8S ribosomal RNA, internal transcribed spacer 2, and large subunit ribosomal RNA". The stretch from base 1 to 121 matches the Rfam family "5.8S ribosomal RNA", at positions 35 to 154 of the family's 154-position model. The record is from RNAcentral.
GAUGAAGAACGUAGCGAAAUGCGAUAAGUAAUGUGAAUUGCAGAAUUCAGUGAAUCAUCGAAUCUUUGAACGCACCUUGCGCCCUUUGGCCAUUCCGAAGGGCAUGCCUGUUUGAGUAUCAUGAACACCUCAACUCUUUAUGGGUUUCCAUGAUGAGCUUGGACUCUGGGGGUUUUGCUGGCUCACAGUCGGCUCCUCUAAAAUGAAUCAGCUUACCAGUGUUUGGUGGGUAUCAUGGGUGUGAUAACUAUCUACGCUUGUGGUUUUUCCACCAGGUAACCUUCAGCAGUGGAGGUUCGCUGGAGCUCAUAGAUGUCUCUCCUCAGUGAGGACAGCCCUUUGAAUGUUUGAUCUCAAAUCAGGUAGGACUACCCGCUGAACUUAAGCAUAUCAAUAAGCGGAGGA